GGCCUCGUGGCCUAGAAGCAAGGCAUUGGUUUCCGGUAGAGACCACUCCUUAGGGAGUCUCGAGUUCACCAAAGAUCGCGGGUGCAAAUCCUGUCGGGGUCG
Schizosaccharomyces japonicus yFS275 is the source of this 102-nucleotide transfer RNA. It matches the Rfam family "tRNA". Rfam says of the family: Transfer RNA (tRNA) molecules are approximately 80 nucleotides in length. Lineage: Eukaryota; Fungi; Ascomycota; Schizosaccharomycetes; Schizosaccharomycetales; Schizosaccharomycetaceae. The record is from Rfam.